AAAGUAUAUACUGUGUAAGUGUGAACGUUGAAUGUGAUGAGUUGUUAGUUUAACAGUAAACGUAGAAAUGAUUUGAUUUUUAUCCUGCUUAUUAAAUAAGUAAUCGGUUGCAUCAUAAUUCUCGAGUGUUUGAGCGGAGAGCGGUCGGGCAUUGCCGGCGAGCCGGGAGGGGAGGAAGUUGUGUGAAAGGUACCGCACUGGCACUGGCCUAUGCUAGUGCCUGGCUGGCGCACGGCUUCGGUAGGUACGGUGUCUAAGUACUCUAACGACAAAAGAUGAAGACUUAGUCUAGAGAUGGGUUUUCAGGCUUGGCCGCCUGAAUCUUAAUCUUUUGAUUUGCAGUUCUUGAUCCACUGAUUGGUGACGAUGAUGAUCACAUGUCAUGUCUAAUCUGACUGAAUGAGACAAA
Long non-coding RNA from Lytechinus variegatus (green sea urchin), 409 nucleotides. RefSeq lists it as uncharacterized. Lineage: Eukaryota; Metazoa; Echinodermata; Echinoidea; Temnopleuroida; Toxopneustidae. The record is from RefSeq and is a predicted model, not a curated record. The transcript has 2 exons.